UCUCUCUCUCUCUCUCUCUCUCUCGCUCAGAGAAAGAGAAAGAGGCAAAAAAGGGGAAAGGUCUGGCCGGGUUAAAAAGCGUAGCAGUGAGGUUUGUGGUGGGUGGUGGUUGUAGAAGAAAGAUCAGAGCUAAGAGAAAAGCUAAUAAAUUGAUGGAUUGGUGGCAGAAGAUGAUCUUUCCCGUUAGAAGAGUUUGGAUUUCUCUCUCUGC
Molecule: unclassified non-coding RNA, 211 nt
Filed under: Hevea brasiliensis (rubber tree)
Lineage: Eukaryota; Viridiplantae; Streptophyta; Magnoliopsida; Malpighiales; Euphorbiaceae
Source: RNAcentral